This 492-nucleotide ribosomal RNA is filed under the name uncultured bacterium. RNAcentral describes it as "partial 16S ribosomal RNA". It matches the Rfam family "Bacterial small subunit ribosomal RNA", at positions 29 to 507 of the family's 1533-position model. The record is from RNAcentral.
AGUGAACGCUGGCGGUAGGCCUAACACAUGCAAGUCGAACGGCAGCACAGUAAGAGCUUGCUCUUACGGGUGGCGAGUGGCGGACGGGUGAGGAAUACAUCGGAAUCUACUUUUUCGUGGGGGAUAACGUAAGGAAACUUACGCUAAUACCGCAUACGACCUACGGGUGAAAGCAGGGGAUCUUCGGACCUUGCGCGAUUGAAUGAGCCGGUGUCGGAUUAGCUAGUUGGCGGGGUAAAGGCCCACCAAGGCGACGAUCCGUAGCUGGUCUGAGAGGAUGAUCAGCCACACUGGAACUGAGACACGGUCCAGACUCCUACGGGAGGCAGCAGUGGGGAAUAUUGGACAAUGGGCGCAAGCCUGAUCCAGCCAUACCGCGUGGGUGAAGAAGGCCUUCGGGUUGUAAAGCCCUUUUGUUGGGAAAGAAAAGCAGCAGGUUAAUACCCCGCUGUUCUGACGGUACCCAAAGAAUAAGCACCGGCUAACUUCGUG